RNAcentral lists this ribosomal RNA (292 nucleotides) under uncultured Limnohabitans sp. RNAcentral describes it as "partial 16S ribosomal RNA". It matches the Rfam family "Bacterial small subunit ribosomal RNA", at positions 505 to 796 of the family's 1533-position model. The record is from RNAcentral. Lineage: Bacteria; Pseudomonadati; Pseudomonadota; Betaproteobacteria; Burkholderiales; Comamonadaceae.
GUGUCAGCCGCCGCGGUAAUACGUAGGGUGCAAGCGUUAAUCGGAAUUACUGGGCGUAAAGCGUGCGCAGGCGGUUAUGUAAGACAGAGGUGAAAUCCCCGGGCUCAACCUGGGAACUACCUUUGUGACUGCAUAGCUGGAGUACGGUAGAGGGGGAUGGAAUUCCGCGUGUAGCAGUGAAAUGCGUAGAUAUGCGGAGGAACACCGAUGGCGAAGGCAAUCCCCUGGACCUGUACUGACGCUCAUGCACGAAAGCGUGGGGAGCAAACAGGAUUAGAUACCCCGGUAGUCC